Molecule: ribosomal RNA, 253 nt
Filed under: uncultured bacterium
Lineage: Bacteria
Description: partial 16S ribosomal RNA
Rfam family: Bacterial small subunit ribosomal RNA
Source: RNAcentral
UACAGAGGUGGCAAGCGUUGUUCGGAAUUACUGGGCGUAAAGGGCGCGUAGGCGGCCUUCUAAGUCAGACGUGAAAUCCCCGGGCUCAACCUGGGAACUGCAUCCGAAACUGCCUUGCUCGAGUAUGGGAGAGGGAAGUGGAAUUUCCGGUGUAGCGGUGAAAUGCGUAGAUAUCGGAAGGAACAUCAGUGGCGAAGGCGACUUCCUGGACCAAUACUGACGCUCAGGUGCGAAAGCGUGGGGAGCAAACAGG